RNAcentral lists this transfer RNA (100 nucleotides) under Phakopsora pachyrhizi. Its description in RNAcentral is "tRNA-Lys". It matches the Rfam family "tRNA". From Rfam's summary of the family: Transfer RNA (tRNA) molecules are approximately 80 nucleotides in length. Their secondary structure includes four short double-helical elements and three loops (D, anti-codon, and T loops). Further hydrogen bonds mediate the characteristic L-shaped molecular structure. tRNAs have two regions of fundamental functional importance: the anti-codon, which is responsible for specific mRNA codon recognition, and the 3' end, to which the tRNAs corresponding amino acid is attached (by aminoacyl-tRNA synthetases). tRNAs cope with the degeneracy of the genetic code in two manners: having more than one tRNA (with a specific anti-codon) for a particular amino acid; and 'wobble' base-pairing, i.e. permitting non-standard base-pairing at the 3rd anti-codon position. The record is from RNAcentral. Lineage: Eukaryota; Fungi; Basidiomycota; Pucciniomycetes; Pucciniales; Phakopsoraceae.
GCCCGGCUAGCUCAGUUGGUAGAGCAUUCGACUCUUACAGGGGUCUACCAAACCAGUAUAUGGUAUCGAAUUGUCGUGGGUUCGAGCCCCACGUUGGGCG